GACGAACGCUGGCGGCGUGCUUAACACAUGCAAGUCGAACGGAAAGGCCCUGCUUGCAGGGUACUCGAGUGGCGAACGGGUGAGUAACACGUGGGUGAUCUGCCCUGCACUUCGGGAUAAGCCUGGGCAACUGGGUCUAAUACCGGAUAGGAGCCAUUUUUUGUGUGAUGGUUGGAAAGUUUUUUCGGUGUAGGAUGAGCUCGCGGCCUAUCAGCUUGUUGGUGGGGUAAUGGCCUACCAAGGCGGCGACGGGUAGCCGGCCUGAGAGGGUGGGCGGCCACAUUGAGACUGGGAGACGGCCCAGACUCCGACGGGAGGCAGCAGGGGGGAAUAUUGCACAAUGGGCGCAAGCCGGAUGCAGCGACGCCGCGUGGUGGAUGACGGCCUUCGGGUUGAAAACUCCUUUCGCGAGGGACGAAGCUUUUUGUGACGGUACCUAGAUAAGAAGCACCGGCUAACUACGUG
Molecule: ribosomal RNA, 465 nt
Filed under: uncultured bacterium
Lineage: Bacteria
Description: partial 16S ribosomal RNA
Rfam family: Bacterial small subunit ribosomal RNA
Source: RNAcentral